This 482-nucleotide ribosomal RNA is filed under the name uncultured bacterium. RNAcentral's name for it is "partial 16S ribosomal RNA". It matches the Rfam family "Bacterial small subunit ribosomal RNA", at positions 28 to 507 of the family's 1533-position model. The record is from RNAcentral.
GACGAACGCUGGCGGCGUGCUUAACACAUGCAAGUCGAACGAUGAAGAAGAGAAACGCGAACUUCGGUUCAAAUUUCACUUCGGAUUAGUGGCAGACGGGUGAGUAACGCGUGAGCAACCUACCUCUUACAAAGGGAUAGCCCUGGGACACCAUGCUUAAUACCAUAUGACACAUUCAUAAGGCAUCUUAAGAAUGUUAAAGCUACGGCGGUAAGAGAUGGGCUCGCGUCCCAUUAGAUAGUUGGGGAGGUAACGGCCCACCAAGGCGACGAUGGGUAACCGGGCUGGGAGGGUGAACGGUCACAUUGGAACUGGGACACGGGCCGAACUCCUACGGGAGGCAGCAAUGGGGAAGAAUGCACGAUGGAGGGAAGACGGAUGCAGCGAGGCUGCGUAAGCGAGGAAGGAAUUCGUUACGUAAAGCUCUGUUAUAUGGGAAGAAAAGGACUGUACCAUAGGAGAAAGCCCCGGCUAAAUACGUG